RNAcentral lists this long non-coding RNA (1922 nucleotides) under Polistes canadensis. RNAcentral's name for it is "uncharacterized LOC106792482". The record is from RNAcentral. Lineage: Eukaryota; Metazoa; Arthropoda; Insecta; Hymenoptera; Vespidae.
UUAUACACAUACAUAAAUAUAAAGAUGAGAAUGAUUAAUAUCGAAGAAUACUGACAAUUUGAUAUGUUUUGCAGGGAUGAUAGGAGCGUUACCACCGGGUGCUAUGCAUCCGGCAUUUGCAGCUCCAAUGGGAUUCCCCGGUGCACCGAUGUUGGCGCCAAUGAUGCAUCCACGCUUUAGAUGAUCGCCUCCCGUGGACGGGCCCACUCCACCAUUGCACUUUGUGCUAUGGGCUCGCCCCUAAAAUCAUAUUAGGGUUCGGACCGAACUUUUUGACCGACAGAAGAUUAAAUGAAGAUGAAAAUGAAGACGAAGAUGAAAAUAGGAGAAGCAGCACACCCGCUAAAUACGUUACGUCUCUUGCGUGGAAUACAGUUCAUCAUCGAACCGGGCCCGUGCCUGCACUUGACGUAUCCUGUCCCACGAAGCUUACACGAAAAAACGAAGUUGGCACGGUUUACGUAUCGCAAAAGCGUGGCGAAGACUGUGCAAGAGGAGCUGCUGCCGAAAUUCAUGUAUAAAUGAAAGAGAGAGAUAGAGAAAUAUUCAAUUAAAAUAAAAUAUAAUAAAAUAAAAUAAAAAAUAGAAGAUUUGAUAUAUAUCUUGAAAUUUAAGAAAGGAUUGUGUAUCUAAAUAUAUUUGUGCGUGUUAUAAUGGGUCAUAUUUGUUUUUUUUCUUUUCUUUUUUUUUCAAUUAUUAUUAUUAAUAUGCAUUCUUUAUAUCUUGUUGUUGUGUUAAGUUAAUCGUCAGUAGGCACCCUGUUUGUCUCUCUUUUUCAAUUUUGAGUUUCUCAGCUAUAGUACACUCCGACUAAAACGAAUUCUUGAAAGUGCAUAUCGCGUCGUGUAUACAACACGUGUACGUACCUAAAUCUACGCAUCGUUAUUAUAUAAUUUAUUUUUCAGGGAUUGUCUUGCCGAAUUAUCGGAUUCCUUUUAACUUUCUUUUUCUUUUUCUUCUAUUUCUUGUCCUCUUUCCUCUUUUUCCCCUUUUUGUUUCUUCCAUCUUUCAUCUUCCCAAUUCAAAAAUUGCCGCGUGAGAAUCACGUGGUAUCUAGCGUAUACGCGCGGGAAUACUCUCCUCAUUUGAAUUCAAUUUGCGAGCGGCUUUGCUCUCGUAUUCGGCGCAUCAGUAGUUUUUCUCUUUUUUUUUGUUUUGUUUUUAAAUUCGGCAGGACAAUCUGAUGGCAGAAUUUUUGGACAUGUAGAAGUUCUGUUAUUUAUUGAGUGUCAUAUUAUAGACUGUUCCGAAUAAAGACGUUCUGUGGAAAGCUCUACAAAAUUGGGCAUAAUCUGCUUUUCUGGGAUAGAUACGUUAUGUUAUUUGUUAAUUAAUAUUUUAUUAUUAUUAUUAUUAUUAUUUCUUUUCUUAUUUUUUAUAAUUUUAAUUUCAAAUACAAUUUGUAUGUAAUGUAUGUAUGCACUUGAACGCGCGAUUUAUACGUAUAUAUAUAUAUGUAUAACGUAUAUACCUACAUUUUUAACGCAGAAUAUGUUUGAAAUAUAUUUGCACACCUCUCUCUCCUCUUCAAUUUUGUUUUUUUAAUGAGGAAGGGUAGAAAAAAAAAAAAAAAAAAAAUUCGUUUCGUUUCAUCCCAGAAUGGCGGGCGAUAGCCACAUAUUGUUUCAACCAAUCACAGCUCUCACCGCUGUUGGACCUUACCGGUCCCUUGCCUCAAGGCAGGCGAUUGUUUGGACCUACCGUCCUGGUCUCGAGGUACCCAUCAUCUUCCCAAUUUUAUUAGCCAACAAAUUCUUUUGACAUCUUAACGAUAGAGAAAAAAGAAACAGAUUUGUAUAUAUAGAUAUUACACAACAGAGAGAUAAUUAUACAAACAAUGAAAAUGUACAGUAGCAACGUGAGAAUAAUUUAGAUAUAAUAUCAUAAUAUCUAUUGUAUUUUCAUGUUGCGCAUCACCCGAA